GAUGAACGCUGGCGGCGUGCCUAAUACAUGCAAGUCGAGCGAACAGACGAGGAGCUUGCUCCUCUGACGUUAGCGGCGGACGGGUGAGUAACACGUGGAUAACCUACCUAUAAGACUGGGAUAACUUCGGGAAACCGGAGCUAAUACCGGAUAAUAUAUUGAACCGCAUGGUUCAAUAGUGAAAGACGGUUUUGCCGUCACUUAUAGAUGGAUCCGCGCCGCAUUAGCUAGUUGGUAAGGUAACGGCUUACCAAGGCAACGAUGCGUAGCCGACCUGAGAGGGUGAUCGGCCACACUGGAACUGAGACACGGUCCAGACUCCUACGGGAGGCAGCAGUAGGGAAUCUUCCGCAAAGGGCGAAAGCCUGACGGAGCAACGCCGCGUGAGUGAUGAAGGUCUUCGGAUCGUAAAACUCUGUUAUUAGGGAAGAACAAAUGUGUAAGUAACUAUGCACGUCUUGACGGUACCUAAUCAGAAAGCCACGGCUAACUACGUG
Molecule: ribosomal RNA, 497 nt
Filed under: uncultured bacterium
Lineage: Bacteria
Description: partial 16S ribosomal RNA
Rfam family: Bacterial small subunit ribosomal RNA
Source: RNAcentral